AUGGGAACGCGAAGAACCUUACCUAGACUUGACAUCUUCUGCAUUAAUCGUAAUGGAUGAAAUCCCUUCGGGGACGAGAAUGACAGGUGGUGCAUGGUUGUCGUCAGCUCGUGUCGUGAGAUGUUGGGUUAAGUCCCGCAACGAGCGCAACCCUUAUUACUAGUUGCUACCAUUAAGUUGAGCACUCUAGUGAGACUGCCCGGGUUAACCGGGAGGAAGGCGGGGAUGACGUCAAAUCAUCAUGCCCCUUAUGUCUAGGGCAACACACGUGCUACAAUGGUGAGUACAGAUAGAUGCGAUACCGCAAGGUGGAGCCAAACUCUAAAACUCAUCCCAGUUCGGAUUGUAGGCUGCAACUCGCCUACAUGAAGUUGGAGUUGCUAGUAAUCGCGAAUCAGAAUGUCGCGGUGAAUACGUUCCCGGGUCUUGUACACACCG
This 438-nucleotide ribosomal RNA is filed under the name uncultured bacterium. RNAcentral describes it as "bacterial SSU rRNA". It matches the Rfam family "Bacterial small subunit ribosomal RNA", at positions 954 to 1392 of the family's 1533-position model. The record is from RNAcentral.